Molecule: ribosomal RNA, 274 nt
Filed under: uncultured bacterium
Lineage: Bacteria
Description: partial 16S ribosomal RNA
Rfam family: Archaeal small subunit ribosomal RNA
Source: RNAcentral
AAACCAGCACCUCAAGUGGUCAGGAUGAUUAUUGGGCCUAAAGCAUCCGUAGCCUGUUCUGUAAGUUUCCGGUUAAAUCCAUUAGCUCAACUAAUGGGCCGCCGAAAAUACUGCACAGCUAGGGAGUGGGAGAGGUAGACGGUACUCGGUAGGAAGGGGUAAAAUCCUUUGAUCUAUUGAUGACCACCUGUGGCGAAGGCGGUCUACCAGAACACGUCCGACGGUGAGGGAUGAAAGCUGGGGGAGCAAACCGGAUUAGAAACCCCGGUAGUCC